AUUGAACGCUGGCGGCAGGCCUAACACAUGCAAGUCGAACGAGUGGCAGACGUGAGAGAAAUGUCUGGGAAACUGCCUGAUUGAGGGGGAUAUCUUCUGGAAACUGUAGCUAAUACCGCAUCCCAUCGGAUGUCCCCAUAUGGUAUUAGCUAGUAGGGGGUGGAAAGGCUCACCUAGGCGACGAUCCCUCGCUGGUCUGAGAGGAUGACCAGCCACACUGGAACUGAGACACGGUCCAGACUCCUACGGGAGGCAGCAGUGGGGAAUAUUGCACAAUGGGCGCAAGCCUGAUGCAGCCAUGCCGCGUGUAUGAAGAAGGCCUUCGGGUUGUAAAGUACUUUCAGCGGGGAGGCGUUACUCGCAGAAGAAGCACCGGCUAACUCCGUGCCAGCAGCCGCGGUAAUAC
Molecule: ribosomal RNA, 406 nt
Filed under: uncultured bacterium
Lineage: Bacteria
Description: partial 16S ribosomal RNA
Rfam family: Bacterial small subunit ribosomal RNA
Source: RNAcentral